Egretta garzetta (little egret) is the source of this 1168-nucleotide long non-coding RNA. RefSeq lists it as uncharacterized. The transcript is spliced from 3 exons. The record is from RefSeq and is a predicted model, not a curated record. NCBI's taxonomy places the organism in Eukaryota, Metazoa, Chordata, Aves, Pelecaniformes, Ardeidae.
CGCGCCGGCGGGCUGCAGCUGGGCACCAGCCUCUUCAGGGACACGGGCGGCCCCCGCCGCCAUCACCAGCACCUCCAGCCUGCCGGCGAGAGCAGCGACCACGACUACGCCCUGCCCAGCUCCCGGCCUCCCGGCCUGGAGGAGGAGUGGGCGGCCCCCGGCGGGAUCUGCCUCCACGUGGACCGGGAUCAGGUGUCGGUGGAGUUCUGCUCCAUCUGUGCUCGGCGAGCGGCGGCCUCCUUCAAAAUGUAGGGUCAAGUACCUGCUGCAAGUACUCGUGGGGUUCUCGCCCCUAGGGGCCUCGCGUCGUGGCGGAGGAAGCAGGCGAUGGUGCGGAGGAAAAGAAUAAAUACAGUGGUGAUGGGGUGGUAUCGGGGGAGAUGCAGAGGAGGUGGAACCUGGCGCUUAAGUGGCCGGGGUAACAAAACAAAACGAAACAAAACAAAACAAAAUCUCUUGAACGGCACAUUGGGAGCCAGAUGGCGGCCUUGGUCAAAGGUCCCGUAAAUCUGGCGCGUGGACGGUAGUGGUCUGAGCCUGUUUGGCCUAAGAGUCGUGCAAAGCUGCGUACAGCAGUGCGAUAAUUAUCGUGCAAACUGACACGCGCGUGUACACGCAGAGGUGCCGGCCAGCGCCCGUUUGCAGCACUUGGGUGAAAAGAUCAUGCCGACCUGACGCAUGAAGGUGUGCUCGGUUCCACUUCGCAGUUGCCAGUAAAGAUAACGCUGACUACCCGGUCUUGAGUCAGAUAAUGUCUAGCCUGCUUAUCCUGAGGAGCCGAAAAUGCUUGCUUAGAAAACCAAACCAAAAACUUCAUUAAGACAUCGUCACUGGACAGACUUAAGAAAAUAGUAAUGAUCGGCAAAAGAAAGCAUGCAUAUAAAAUUGUACUGCAUCUCAGUUAUACAUUACUAUUAAAACCUCUCUGACAGUUUCUCUUUUAGGUGCUUGCCCUGCCAGGCUCCGUUGUGUAGGGGUUAAAGAACAGUCGUUUUCCACCUCGCAACCUGUGGAUUCAGCUGUGUUGGGGCAGAAGAGACGGGACCAGCUGCUGGCCACAUUUCCUGCUUUAUUUUAAAAGGCGGGGAGGCAGUGUUUGCAAGGAGUUUGUGACAGUUGUAGGAGGCCGAGAACCGGUAACGGCUCGUCCUUUGACUUGUGGAGCUGU